This 253-nucleotide ribosomal RNA is filed under the name uncultured bacterium. RNAcentral's name for it is "partial 16S ribosomal RNA". It matches the Rfam family "Bacterial small subunit ribosomal RNA", at positions 524 to 776 of the family's 1533-position model. The record is from RNAcentral.
UACGAAGGAUCCAAGCGUUAUCCGGAUUUAUUGGGUUUAAAGGGUGCGUAGGCGGGCUAUUAAGUCAGUGGUGAAAUCCUGCAGCUUAACUGUAGAACUGCCAUUGAUACUGCUAGUCUUGAGUAUGGUUGAGGUGGGCGGAAUGUGUCAUGUAGCGGUGAAAUGCUUAGAUAUGACCCAGAACACCAAUUGCGAAGGCAGCUCGCUAAGCCAUAACUGACGCUGAUGCACGAAAGCGUGGGGAGCAAACAGG